UGAGUAACCUGCCCUUAACUCUGGGAUAAGCCUGGGAAACUGGGUCUAAUACCGGAUAUGGCUCCUCAUCGCAUGGUGGGGGGUGGAAAGCUUUUUGUGGUUUUGGAUGGACUCGCGGCCUAUCAGCUUGUUGGUGAGGUAUGGCUCACCAAGGCGACGACGGGUAGCCGGCCUGAGAGGGUGACCGGCCACACUGGGACUGAGACACGGCCCAGACUCCUACGGGAGGCAG
RNAcentral lists this ribosomal RNA (232 nucleotides) under uncultured bacterium. Its description in RNAcentral is "partial 16S ribosomal RNA". It matches the Rfam family "Bacterial small subunit ribosomal RNA", at positions 118 to 351 of the family's 1533-position model. The record is from RNAcentral.